Gopherus flavomarginatus (Mexican gopher tortoise) is the source of this 2975-nucleotide long non-coding RNA. RefSeq lists it as uncharacterized. NCBI's taxonomy places the organism in Eukaryota, Metazoa, Chordata, Testudines, Testudinidae. The record is from RefSeq and is a predicted model, not a curated record. The transcript has 3 exons.
GGGAAACCGAGGCAGGCAUUGAUGUGACUUGCCCAAGACCACACACAGCAAGUCGAUGUGGCAGGGCUGGGAUAAGAGCACACUUCCUAUCUCCCAGCCUGAGGGUCAUUCCAGUGCACCACAAUGACUUUCAUAGUAAAAUGAUGGACUCCGUGGGGGCUAUGCAUAGUCAGAAUUCUGGAAAGCCAGCUGUAAACAAUGAAACCUAACGGUGCAGUCCUCAACCCAGCUGCUGUACUCAUGGGUCCUGAUCCUGCGGGUGCAAGAACAAACCGUGCUAAAAGGGAGACUAACUCGUUCAUGGAAUUGUUGAAUUUAAGACCAGAUCAUCUAGUUUGACCUCUUCUGUCACAGGCCACCACACCAUCCAGCCACCCACACACUAAACCCGCCAACUGAAAUUAGACCAAAGUAUUUACAAUGCUUGGAAGACUAAGGUGUUGUGUGAAUUAACUUACCUGAGAGGGGAAACUGAAUCUGACUAGACACAGGUUAUGUCUAUGCUUCAAGCUGAGGAUGUGAUUCCUGGCUCAAGUAGACACACCCAUGCUAGCUCUGAUCAAGCUAGCACACUAAAAAUAGAACGUAGCUGCAGUGGUUCAAGCUACAGGAGGAGUGAGCUGAUUGAGUAUAGCUAGGACAGGGACAUACUCUGGUGGCUAGCCCCUCCCAUUGAGAGACUGCCAUCAUGAGAAAUCAGGAAGACAGAGCAGGGGAAAAGGUGAACACAGAGUGGAUGGGUGGAACAAAGGCAGGGACCAGUGUCACUGAGGACUGGGGAAGGAUCUGAGGAACAGCUUGGCUUGAGGCUUGGUGAGAGAAGGGAAUGUCUGCAGGGAGACAGGGACUAACGUGAGGCAGUUGGGGAACCUGGAGUUAGAGAAGAAACUGAGGAGUGAACUGGAGGUAGACAGUGGAGCUGGGGAAGGAGUAAGUUGGGGUAGAGUGAGGAAGAAAUAAGAGUCUGGGAUCAGGAGAGACGAGUUGAGGGAUGGAGAAGUAGGACGAGGCAGGGAAUUGGGAAGCUUGCAUGGGUAGUAAAUUGUCUGGAAUGGUGUGUGGAGAGAAUGAUUUGUAGGGAGAGAAUGGACUGUGGGAGAACUGAAUUUGUGUGCUGGUGAAGUGAUGGAGUGUAGGGUUGGCAUGGGUUUGUUUUCUGGAUACUGUGGUGUUGCAAGCUGGAUUGUGAUUGCAGUUGGGAGAGUAGCUGGUCCUGCAAGGUGGGUCAGUGAUGAGCAAGAAGAUAGAGUCAUGUAAAAACAUGCACUUGGAGAGAGAUUGAAAAGACUGGAACUAAAUGGUGGUCAACACAAUGGAAAAGUUUGGAGCCCCUGCUCUAAUGAGUCUUCCAUAUUACCUCUCCUACCUAUAUGUGUUUACUGUUACCCGAUGUUUCCUGGUAGGAGCAAUAUAAACAGGAAUCCAUUUGCACUGUACAACCAAGACUUUAUUGGUCCUACUAACUUAUGAACAUAACAGUUGAUUGUGCUAUACGUACCUCGCUACUGUCUACAUACAGUCACAUAUCUCUACAUCUCUCUCUGUCUCUCGGGUAUACAACUCUUGUAACAGCUCCCAAACUGUGAUCCGUAGAUAACUGUGCAUUCUAAUGUGCAGUGGAGCUCAGGGUGCAGCCAGAAGCAUUCAAGAUUACUCAAAACUGGUCUUUGGUGUAGCUCUACAAGCUCCAUUGUGAGUCAGACUGUAGCUCUGUACUGGGGCUCAUCAUGGAAGCUGGUCUCUGAGUUCUUCAUUAAGGGAUCAGUUCUGCAAAUUGCUGAGUGCCAUUACUUCCCUUGGACUUCAGUGCGAGUUGAUGACACUCAGCACUCUGCAGGAGCAAGUCCAAAGGGCCUAGCCCUGCCAGGUGCUAAAUGCCUCUUGUAGGUUGCCUAGUGCCCUCAAUUUCCUUGGGAACAGAAGACAUAUAGACUCAUAGACUUUAAGGCCUGAAGGAACCAUCAUGAUCAUCUAGUCUGACCUCCUGCACAUUGUAAAUCACAGAACUUCACCCACCCACUCCUGUGGUAGGUCUGUAAUCUCUGGCUGAGUUACCGAAGUCCUCAAAUCUUGACUGAAAGACUUCAAGUUACAGAGAAUCUACUAUUUACUCUAGUUCAAACCAUCAAGUGAUCCAUGCCCUAUACUGCAGAGGAAAGUAAAAACAAACAAACAAAAAAUUCCCAGGGUCUCUGCUAAUCUGACCUGAGGGGAAAUUUCUUCCCGACCCCAAUAUAGUGAUCAGUUAGUCCCUGUGUGUGCGGCCAAGACCCCUCAGCCAGGUCCCAUCUCUGGCCACUGAAAAUAUUUGCUAAUAUAAGUCACAGAUGGGCCAUGUGCCAUUGUAGGCAGUAUCAUCAGAACAUCCCCUGCACAAACUUAGCAAGUUCAGUCUUGAAUUAGGUUUUGCCCCACUGCUCCCCUUGGAAGGCUGUUCCAGGACUUCACUCCUUUAAUUAGAAACCUUUCUCUAAUUUCAAGCCUAAACUUAUUGGUGAUCAGUUCAUAGGUUCCGACUCCAUGGGUGCUCCAAGACUGGAGCACUCAUGGAAAAAAUUAGCAAGUGCUUAGUACCCACUGGCAGCCACCUCCCCACUCCCCACCCCCAGCACCUCCCGCCUGCUGUGGAACAGCUGUUUCACAGCAUGCAGGAGGCGCUGGGGAGGGGGAGCAGGGAUGGGGUGCAGUUGGGAGAGAAGGCAGGACUGUGUGGGAAGAGGCAGGGUGGGGUAGAGCAGGGGCAGGAAGAAUCAGGUUUGAGGGAAGGUAUGGAAUGAGGCAGAGUCUGGGCUGAGCAGGGGUUGAACACCCCUGGGGAAAGUUGGAAGCUGAAGCCUGCGAUCCAGUUUCUAUCUAUUUGUUCUUGUGACAAUUUUGGCCCUUAACUUAAAUAAUUCCUCUCUAUCCUUGGUAUUUAUCCCUCUGAUAUGUUUAUAGAGAGCAAUCAUAUCUCCCCUCAGCCUUCAUUUUGUUAG